RNAcentral lists this long non-coding RNA (296 nucleotides) under Monodelphis domestica (gray short-tailed opossum). RNAcentral describes it as "lncRNA (ENSMODG00000037904.1)". The record is from RNAcentral. Lineage: Eukaryota; Metazoa; Chordata; Mammalia; Didelphimorphia; Didelphidae.
AAAGAGACCUGACACCCAGUACGACUCUUCUGCCAUGAUUGUGUUUUCACUGGAGGAAGCUGUUCGUGAACAAAAGGGAAAGAAGCCACUGAUAGAAAAGAGACAGGCAUGUUUUUUUCAUACACAAUAUGCAGCAUGGCUAACAUGAAAAUAUGUUUUACCUGUCUUCACAUGUAUAAUGGAUAUCCCAUUACUUGCCUUUUCAACAAAUGGAAGAGGUUCUGUAAGGAAGAGAGAGAAUUUGGAUAAACAAUUAAAAAGUGAAAGUAAAUAAAAUAAAAUAAAACCGAGUCUCA